Molecule: long non-coding RNA, 718 nt
Organism: Zalophus californianus (California sea lion)
Lineage: Eukaryota; Metazoa; Chordata; Mammalia; Carnivora; Otariidae
Exons: 3
Source: RefSeq, a predicted model, not a curated record
CACCUCACUAAUUUGGAAGCUUCAUGCCCUUGGUGGUGGUGAAUCAAGGCCUUGAAAAGUGGCUGGUCCAAGAUGACAGAGGAAAUUGGUGGUAGAGCCAGGAAUAGGGUGCUCUUUGCAUGACACCUUGGUGAUUCAGCCUACAAUACAGAGGAGAAAGCUGAGGCUUGAAAAGAUUCCAUGAUCAGCCCAAAGUCAGAGAACUGGUGAGUGGCUGAACUGUGAUCCAAUGCCAGGUUGUUCCGUGAGAGUCUGAGGCACUUUCACUGCCCCCCAAACCACCAAACUUCAUUGAUCUCCAGGAAGGAGAAAGAAUGGAAAGCAAACAUGAGGGUGAAUGGAAAGGACUGAAAAAGCAAUGGACAAUGGAGGCAAAGAGGGCGACAACCAACCAGCCAGUGUGGAAGAAAAGAGAGAGGAAGAUGCAAAGGGAAGUUCAUGAGCCUCUUUGUAGUUCAUAGGUGACACGCCAUCUGUACCACAGAAUGGUUUAAAAAAACAGGCCCCAUCAAUCUCAACCUAUGAACACAGAAAAAUCCUAAAUAAAAUACUAGAAAUAAAAACCAACAGCAUAUUUAAAAUAGCACAUAGUGACUAUUUCACAUGUGUUGGAGGUAUUAGCCAAUGCAACUAGAUACGAGAAUGCAAGUAGACGCAUAAUAAUCAGAAAAGAAAGAAAAUCUAUCUGCUUGCUGAUAUGACUGUAUGUAUAUCUGAA